Ictalurus punctatus (channel catfish) is the source of this 12567-nucleotide long non-coding RNA. Lineage: Eukaryota; Metazoa; Chordata; Actinopteri; Siluriformes; Ictaluridae. The record is from Ensembl.
GGGGAGGUGAGGCGCGGCGCAGCGCGGCGCGAACUUGUUUUGCGUGGCUUGAGAGUGAGUGAGUGAGUGAGUGUUGUGCUGCGCGGCUGAAUGUCGGGAUUGCGCUUCCCGUUUGACAAGGAGGAGGAGAAAGAAGGAACAGCCGACACAGACAGACACACAGACAGACAGAGAGAAGCAGAAGUACUCACAGGUCGUAUGACAGGGAUGCGGAGCUCUGGACUCGGCUUCUUGACGGAAUAAAUAAAAGCGCGCGCCAGUGAGGACAGCAGUGACAGGUUAGACACCACCUUUAUCUUCUGCACUUCUAAAAACACCGUGCCUGGACAGUAAGGACAGCCUUUUCUGCUUAUCCAGCUUCGGAUAGAAAUGUCCUAGUGUGCGUUUAGUACUGACAUAACGUUUGCGUAGACAACCUAGGCAGUAUGUCCAACAAAAACAUAAAAGCCAGCUCUAAAACAUGGAAUGUACCAUUAGUUUUCGUAAGGGUUGCGCGCGAGUAUGAAAACGGACUUCCUGUAAACCAGCUGGUUUGUUUUGCAACAGUAACGAAUGACUCGUUUGUCUGUAAUCUCCAAAUCAGACGUGAGACAUGUACGGAGAGAGAGAGAGAGAGAGAGAGAGAGAGAGAAACCCUUACUUCGAGUUUUGUCUUUGACUGCGAGUAAGGAAAAUAUCUCGCUCUUGCUAUCCAGUGGAGUGAAGACAGCAGUGCAGGCGUUGCUGCAUGUAACCUGGAAAAACACUGUUGAUAUUCUUGGAAGUGACAUGCACAUUGGAAGUGCCAGGCAGUGUGAGAGCACUCCUGCUAAUAUAUCAACACGGAGAGCAUGGCGUGAGCUGUUAGGAGGAAGAGGAUGGAUGAGUGAGGCAAGGACAAGCGUCUGAAGUACAGUAUAAGGCCAUGCUGAAUGAGGCUGACCUACCUCAGCCUCCAUCAGUUUAAAGUUCACCUACUGUAUGUUUGCCUGUCUCAACGGGCUAUGCGUGAAGAUGUUACAUGGCUGCUAACUCCUGCUUUGAUUAAUUGGCACGUGUGCUGAGGAAGAACCAUUCCUCACUCGCAUUAAACCCAUUCACUGGCCACUGACACUCUGCCAGAGCUCUGCUUUCCAUUUAACACUGGCAAGCUUAUGUGCAUUAUAAUUAUAGUAUUAUACAGCAUAAGCUUGAUAAAUGCAAGCUUGUUUUUAUUUAAAUCUCAUUAUUCAUUUUUGGAGCAAACAUUAAUGGUUGUCUCACCUUGCUAUGAUUUAACAUCUCACCUCGCUACGAAUUUCAACAGCUCUAAAACAAAGUGAUGUUGUUGAAAUAUGAUUGUGCCUGUUUUUUGUUUUUUUUUAAACCAUGGCGUAAGAACUGAAGGCAGCUGCUAUGUGUUAUGUGUAUUUUAUCGCUAGUCUCUCACCUUCCUCAUGUUGGCAUCCUGACUGAGAACACGCUCUUUACUGCUACAGCCAGUAAAGAAGUGUGUUCAUAAUACUGUGUUUCUGUGCAUAAUGACAUGAAUAAUAUGUUGUUCUGUUAUUUUGCCAUCAAUCCAUAUAUCCUUCAUGUCCUUCUUCAGCUCUAGAUCAGAGGCUUUUACCUCUAAAUAUCCACUUGCCUUAGCAACUGCUACAGGUCUCAAAGUCAUUGUCUGUGUCUGUGAUCACAGAGAUCGGUUAAUCAUUAGCUAUACCAUUGCACCUCGGCAUGCCAACGUCAGCGCUGCCACGAUCACAUUUCAACCACACACUCUUAAUUGCAUGCUUUUUCAUAUCAUGGUUAGACAUUGUGCAAGUCUCACCACAGUUUGGUUAGUGUAAGACUAAAUUCAUCACGUUGAUACCAGAAGCACCUCACCUGAAGCAAAGGUUCAAGUCACACAUAAGGAGGAGGAAGGAAUGGUUUUAACUUUUGUUGUAUUGGCAGUUGGCAGGAUUCUUCUUCAGGGCUCUUAUUGUUAGUCUUGAGCUUCAGUAUCCUGUGUAGUGCCUUCAUUGCCAGAGCUUGUAUUAUGAGGUAAGUACAAUGCUGUGUGGAUUAGCUCUCAAGUCUAUUUGGCAUUGUUUAACCUGUUAGAUGCAGGUCCAAUCUCAAUUUCAAAUACUACCCUGGCUACCAUAAUGACACAGUGAUGCAGCAUGUAGCGUUGCCUCCACAGAGCUCUAGGGUCCUAGGUUAUUUGUUCUCCUUGUGGGAUUUCUCCAGGUUCUCUGGUUUCCUCCCAUAUCCCAGAAACAUGUAGGUACAUUAUAUAGCCAAAAGUAUAUGGACACCUAACCGUUAUACCCAUACGUGCUUGUUGAACAUCCUGUUCCAAGUUGGUUCCCCCUUUACUGCCAUAACAGUCUCCACUCUUUUACAAAGGCUUUCCGCUAUAUUUCGGAAUGUGGCUAUGUGAAUUUCCAAUUCUGCUACAUGAGCAUUAGUGAGGAUGUUGGAUGCGAAGGCCUGGUGUUCCAGUUCAUCUUUAAGUGGGGUUGAGGUCAGGGCUCUGUGCAGGCCACUCGAGUUCUUCCACUCCAAGCUUGGCAGGCCAUGUCUUCAUGGAGCUCUCUUUGUGCAAAGGCGCAUUGUCAUGCUGGAACGAGUUUGGGUCCCUUUAUUCCAGUGAAAGGAAUUCUUAAUUCUACAGUAUACAAAGAUAUUCUAGACAAUUGCAUGCUUCCAACACUGUGGUUUAGGGAAGAGUUUAGGGAACAGUUUAGGGAAGAACCACACAUUGGUCUAAUGGUCAGGUGUUCACAUACUUUUGGCCAUAAUGUGUAGGUGGAUUGACUACGCUAAAGUGAAAAUGUUUCCAUGUAACAGCAGGAAAAUCCAUGGGGGAAAAUCAUAUUCCACUCAGCUGUUUUGCCAUUUUCAGUGGCUGUUACAGCUAAAGCUGUACAUAAAAAAAAAGAUAAUAUAACUUGCACAACACAACGGAAGGGAGAUAAACAUGCAUAAAGAUCGUACAAAGUGAUACUAAUUAUUACACAUCUUUUGCAUUUGUAAAUUAUCCCACUUUAUUUUUUAUUUUUUUUAAAUGACAUGGGUAAAUAAAUUUGAGCUGGCCACAAAACCUAUCCAGCCAUGAUAAUGGUUUACCAAACUUUCCAUGCUAACUGAAAGCAGAUUUGUGCACAUUUAAUUGUUGCUGGUAGCUGUUCUUAUUUAGUCCUGAUAAUGUACACACAUGCUCACACACUCACACUUGGAACAUCCCUUGGCCAUUGUUUGUAGCGUGACUGUGUACACAUGGGCUACAGAAUCCCAGGGACAGAAGAAAGCAUAGGCUUACACAAUCUUUUCAUGUCAUUAGUUAUUUCUCCUGUUCUUUAAAACACCGGGGAAUAAUUGAGUACCUGCACCCAGGAGGAAAAGCAUGCAGAGACCUAUAAAUAUAACCUCCACAACCACACACACACACACACACACACACACACACACAGACUACAUCCUCACUUACUCAGUCAGUCUCUUUUGAUUCUUGAAUAUUCCAUUGUUGGCAUAACAAGAAAUAUGAUGCGUCUAAGAAACAUGACCUUGAUGUUAAGAUUAGUGCUUAGCAUGGGGUUUAACAUGAAGCCCUGAAUCUAUGCACGAGCUUGUAUAAUCACUGUGUUUCCAUACUGUUUUCAUAACAUACCAACACACACCCUGUGGCUGAACGAACGAUAUUCAUAAUACUGUCACUUCUUAUCUAAAGGAAAGCUCUGUGUCAUGACUGCAUAGUCCUUAAGACUAAGUUUGUUUAAAGCAGUAACAUUUCAGGCCAAGUGGUAUAAUUUUGUAAUUUCUAACUUAAAAAGCUCCUCAGCAAAAUACCUUCUUGUAGCUUUUGUUGUCAUCAUAUUUGUCCAUGGAUAAAGCGUUUAUUUUGUGUCUCCUGUUCUCCGUAAUUGUGUUAUAUAUCUUUUGUUACCUAAGUGCUGGAUACUAGCAGUAGUUUGCAGGUUUGUCCUGGAGAGCCGUGCUGCUGACUGUGCGUAAUUUAGGUCAGGAGUCUAGGCGAAUGCUGUGCGGUCUUGUUAAACAUUAUUUGGCCUGGACCCAGAGGAGUGUUGGCUACCUCUGAAGAUGAAGAUAGCAUUUCCUUGUCCCUAAAAGCAAACUCAUUUGAUCAGCUGACUUCGGUUCUACUGUGAAUAGCAUAGAGUAGCGCUGAUGUGUUAAACGUUAAACAUCUGCGUGAAAUUUAAGCAAAGAAGACAUGUUAGUGUUUGACGAUUUACAGCAACGUUAAUGAUUUUGCCAUGGGACAAGAAUAAGAGGCCGAAGAACUCUGUGCUUUUAGCCACGGUGACUGCUCGAAUAGCUGUGUUUACUGUGCGUUCCGCUCACUUUCGCAACACGGCCGUGCAUCACCACCAUGAACACCACAAGUAUGCUUCUAGGAGCUCAGGGCACUGUCCUCAGUGACCAGUCGCAGCACAAAAAUGCAUUUAUAGCAAGACUUGUUUUUGAGGUUUUCAUGGCUGGACGAAGACUUGUGUUUAAGAUAAGCACAUAUAUAUUUUGCACAUGAGGCACAACUCCCGCCUGAGUUUAUCUUAGUUUCAGUCCGCUUCGGCUUGCAUCUUAGUGUCUUUUCCUUUUAUAAUGCCAUUAUACACAGAAAUAUUGUAUCUGGACACAAAUUUAUAAAUGCUUUUGUGUCUUUUUGGAGAGCUUUUUGGAUUUUUAUGGCAUAUUAAUUUUUUAAAUUUACAUUUUCAUUUAUAGCAUUUAGCAGAUGUCUUUAUUCAGAGCGACUUACAUACGUGCUUUGUAGUCUCCAUCAAAAACAUAUCCUCAUGCUAGGGCAAAUAGGUCAGAAUCAAACUGUACUGUAGAUUAAUUUAAAAAGCAAACAAAAACAGUACAAGUUGAGUUUUUUUAUUAUUAUUAUUAUUAGUGCUCAUUUAAGUGCUUGGUGAAGAGGUAGAUAUCGAGCCUUCGUGACACUGCUGUUCAGACAGCCAGAGACGGUCACUCCGUCUGCUCCAUCGCUUCCUUUCUCGCACUGACAUGCACGCACGCACGCGCACACACACACACACACACACACACACACACACACACACACACACACACAAAAAAAAAACAAAUAAAAUCAAAGUUUAAAUCUUCUAUAUUUUCUCCAUCUGCCUCCCAUCUUCCUUUACUUUAACCUCAACUUCCUUCUUUGUUUGUACCCAUGUGUUUUCACAGAUGUGAAAACACAUGGAUACAGACAGCCAUUUCUGUUUCACUUCUGGGCUCCUGGUUGUCUCAGUGGUGCUUUGAGGGAGUUGGUGAGAGAUCCUGGAGCUUGCACGUUCAGCUGGAGGGAUAUGUGCUGAGGGAGAGGAAGAGGUUUGGUUGGAAAUUCCUCUAGCUGUGAGGAGCUUUAGCAGCAGCAGGCAGCACUCCUGAUAAGAAUCCCACACCUCUGUGGCAUUAGAUAUUUGGGCAAGUCACUAGGCAUCCUUUAGAUGUCUUAUUUUAUUUUCUGUGCUGUUGAGCGUUUCCUUGAUGAGCAGGAUUGUGACUGCUGGUUGGUGUAGUGGUGUGUCUGUGGUUCGUGUAUGGACUAGGCUUUCAAGUCAGUUUUAUAAAUCUAAUUAUCCUAUAAAACAGUAUUUUUCAUUUAAGUAUAUAUAGAUACACGAUAUGGCCAAAGGUUUGUGGAGAACCAUCACACAUAUAUGUAGGCCUUCCUCAAACUGUUGCCACAAGGUUGGUUGUAUAGGAUGUAUGUAUAUGAUGUAGCAUUACAACUUCCCUUCACUGGAUCUCAGAGGCCUAAACCUGUUCUAGCAUGACAGUGUCCCUGUGUACAAGGUGAGGUCCAUGAAGACAUGGCCUGCCAAGCUUAGAGUGGAAGAACUCGAGUGUCCUGCACAGAGCCCUGACCUCAACCCUACUGACCACCUUUGGGAUGAACUGGAAUGUCGACUAGGUCCCAGGCCUACUCACCCAACAUCACUAAAUGAUCUUAUUAAUGCUGUUAUGGCUGAAUGGACAAAUCCCAACAGCCACACUCCAAAAUCUAGUGGAAAGCCUUCUCAGAAGAGUGGAGGUUAUUUUAACAGUAAAGCAGGACUAAAUCUGGAAUGGUAUGUUCAACAAGCACAUAUGAGUGUGAUGAUCAGGUGUCCCCAAAUCUUUCCCCAAAACAAUGUAAUAUGACCUUGCAUGUUUUAACACCUUUACAGAACAGCUUUUAACUGUAACUGCAAGUUACUUGAGUCCAUCCUUAACAAAAAUAAAUCCUAUUGAAUCUAUUGAGUCGAUGGUUUUUAAAGACCAGAAAAACUGCAAAAAAACACAAACAAACAGUAGCCAGAUGAAUGAAUAAUAUAAGGUUGCUGAUGAAGCUUUUAUGUUUAAAAUUGAAGUGUUUAAUUCUGUAUCUUUAACCGUGUAUAUCUCAAGAGUACAGUAGUUGAAUGUGAGCAUUUGCAAAAUGCUUGAUCCGGAACCCCGGGUCUCGUCCUGUAAGCAGAGUGACUGAAUCAGAGCUGCUGUCAGUGCUUACAUAACCGUGUGUUCUUCUAGUCCCUGCUUUCUGCAGCUGUCUGCCUUGCUGCCAGCAGCAAGAGUGCUGCCAAACCCAGAGAGAGAUCACACACAUCCACUCUGUCCAACAUAUCAUACACCAACACCGUCCAGCAGGAGCCAACUGUCACUGCACAGCUCUCGGUACCACCAUCAGACCUGCUGCAUGUCUUAAACUUGGCCUUGGGGGAUGUUUGAUAGAACUCACUCCCCAGUUGAUUUUGGGCCCUAAAACAAACAUUCUGGAUAAGUUCUACAAAUAGACAUCUGUUCUCCAGGUACCGUCGUACUAUAAAUUUGAUUCACUUUGUUUUAAACUUUGCUGAAGUUUACUAGUUCAGUGAUGUCUCUGCAUCAUUUAAAUGUGUUAAAAGUUUAUGUGUAGUAAAUCAUCAGUGUUUUUUCUUUCUGCCUUUUUUAUCCACCCACUCUAAGAUCCCCUGUCAAUUGCUUACAGUCUUACACAUUUAAGGUGAAUAUAGUAAAUACGAUUAAUUAUAUUCCAAUUGAAUUGCUAGUUUGCAAAAAAUGUUGUCACUCUUGAAGGAACUCUGAUGUUGCCUGUAACUAUGUCCUGGUUAGUUGUGGUAUAAAUAUGAAGUUGCACACAGGUUUUUCAUUCACUAACAUGUGAAAAACCAAAUAACAUUUAAUACAAAAGAGACAGAUGUUGCUUAACCUGCACAAAUGAGGUAAUGUAUAUAAAAAAUAUCUAAUAAGUUAAAAUGCCAUUAAGCACAAUAAUGAUUAUUUUAUAUUACACAGGGUGUCCCAAAAAUAUAAUAUGGGAAAUUAACACUUUUUUGUAAAACGUCUUCCAAAAUUUUUCAUAAUUUUAAAAGUAAUCUUAAGAGUACCUUUGAGAAAAGAAGAACGUAUUGAAAUCAUUCUCAUGGCUGGAUCGGGAAGCUGUUGUAAGGUUGUGAUGGACUUUAAGAGGAAACAUGGCAAGCACAUCACACUCGACACUGUUGCCAAACUUAUUAACAAAUUCGAAAAGACUGGAAGAUUUGCGGACCGACCGAGAAGUGGAGGUCCACGAACAUCCAUUGAUGGAGGAACAGCCAACAUGGUGCUAGCAAACAUAGUCCCCUAUAUAUGGAAACUUUUGGGACACCCUGUAUAUUAUAUUCCAUAAUAGUGGGCCAUAACAGAAGGUUUCACAUAAAUGAAACGAAUGAAUUUUGCCAAGAAUUGCACCCAGUAGCACACUGUUCCUCACACAGUGAGGAGGAUGGUGAAGGAGGAAAAAAGGAUCCCAAAAUCAUCUGUUAAUAAUCACUUUCAUAAUAUGUUUUGAUGCAUUACAGAAAAAGAAAUGUUUCCUGAGAGAAAUGCAGAAAUGCAGCAACUUCACGUCAUUAGAACUAAAGUUGGCAUGGUGUGUUGUGGUCGGGGUAGACCACAGUCAAACAUUUUGGUCAUCCACACUGUCAACAUGUUUUUGACAAAAUGGGACUGCAUACUAGGAAAAUCACCUGAUACUCGCUGUAAAAUAUGGGGGAGGAUCAUUUGAUUUUUGAGACUCUUGGGACUUGGGCCUUGUUUCCUGGUUGACUCUGCCAGGAGGUUCAGACUUGGCCACAGUUUUGAGCAAAAUGAUUGAGGCAUACUUCCCAAGUCAGUGCUUAAAUGGUUAAAGAAAUUAACAACAGAUGUGUUGCAAUAAGCACCUCAGUUUCCGGAAGUGAAACUUACUGUAAACUUUUGAAGAUGGAAGUCCACAUGCUCAAACCCAAAAAUAUGAAGGAGCAUAAACAGUUCUGCAUGGAAUAAUGGACCCUGUUACAGUAUUGUUAUUCUCAUAUAUUUUGUAGUAAUUUUUACAAUUUAAGUGAACAAAAAACAGAUCAGUCACAUGGGAAAAGUAAGUACACCCCUACAUUUAUCACACCUUCAAAUCCAUAUAUUUGAAUCAGGUGUUCAAGAUUGGGUGCCAGUUAUUAGAAGAUGCUUAGAGAGUGUAGGUGGAACCGGUCUUAUUUAUACCCCUCUCAUAUCUAGUGUCUGGUGUUCCCUGGUGUUAUUGAGGUGUGUGGUGUCAUCAUGCCAAGAUCUAAAGAGUUCUGUAAGGCCGUCAGAAAAAAAAAAAGUUUGUGGAUACCCAUGAGUCUGGCAAGGGGUUUAAAAAGAUCUCCAAUUUAUUUGACAUGCAUCAUUCCACUAUAAGGAAAAUCAUCUACUAAUGGCACAGUUUUCAGAUGAAUUUCAAAUUUCAGAUUUCAAAUUUCAAAUUUGCAAUCCCAGCAAAUCCAGGCUGAGAGCAGAUCGUCUGAUGAAAAACGAAGUCUCCAAGAACCCCAAGAUUUCAUUACAGGAUCUACUAGUAAGUCUUGCAACUGUUGGUGUCAAAGGGCAUGCUUCUACAGUCAGAAAGCGGUUGCAAAAAUUUUAUCUGCAUGUGAGAUGUGCCAGGAAAAAGCCUUUGAAAGACUACAGUUUGCCAAUGAGCAUAUAGGCAAAGACCAGGCCUUUUGGAAUAAUGUGGUCUGUUCAAGUUCAAAUGGCUUUAUUGUUAUUUCAACCAUAUACAGCUGAUACAAUACACAGUGAAAAUAAACAACAUUCCUCCAGGACCAUGGUGCUACAUGAACAACACACUAAUUACAUGAGACAACACGGCACUAAAUAAGAUCUACACAUUUUUACAUAAAGUGCAUGUGCAAAUGUGUGCUAACAACACGAGACAGUACAGUACUACUAAAACAGGACAACAGGACAAAUAUAUAGUUGUUUGGCCUGAGUAACAGCAGACAUAUUUGGUGCGGACCAAAGACAGCUUUUCCGAAGAAGCACCUCAUACCAACUGUGAAGCACUAUGGUGGAAAUGUUAUGGUUUGGGGUUGCUUUACUGCCUCAGGGACUGGACAGCUUACAUUCAUUGACUCAACUAUGAAUUCUGCAUCAUAUCAAAGACUGCUUGAAGAUAAUGUGAGGCCAUCUGGCCGAAAUUUGAAGUUGGAUCUUUCAACAAGAUAAUGAUCCUAAGCACACUAGCAAAUCCACCAAGAAUGGCUCAAAAAGAAGAAAUGGAGGGUUAUGGAAUGGCCUAGUCAACGCCUGGAUUUGAAUCCCAUUGGAAUGUUGUGGGGGGAUUUGAAAUGGGCUGUACAUGCAAGAAAACCCUCAAACAUCUUGCAACUGAAAGAAUUUGCAUAUUGCAACAGCAAGCCGAUGUCAGAGAUCGGUGGACAAUUAUGCAAAACGCCUACAAGAAGUUAUUUCUGCUAAAGGGGUCAAUACUAGCGUCUGAGGCCAAGGGUGCACUUACUUUUUCCACAGAAGAAUAUCGCAUCUAUUGAUAUUUCUGUUGAAUAAAUGGUUGAAGAAGCUAUUUGUUCCUUGUGCUUUUGUUAAACUAUAGCAAAUUAAUUAAUAGGCACUGUUUCAAAGAUGAUCAAAUGUUUGCUUUUCCAAAUAUGUCAGAAAAGCCAAUAAUUUCCAUGGGAUAUACUUACUAAUUUUGAGAUUAUUAAUUGCUUAUUUUCAUGGCGGGUGCCAAUAAUUCUAUAUUUAGGCUGAAUGGGACUGUGAUUAAAAAGAAAACCGCACUGAAGCAGAAGUGCAUGAGCAGGAUGUGUUUAGUGUUACAGGCCACUCGUUCUGUCUGAGACCUUUGUUCCACACAGUCCCCCUGUCAAUGCAGUGAACAUAGAACAAUGUAGAGUUGCAGCUUCACCUAUCCUAUUAUCUCAUCACUGUCUUGUCUAGGUUUCACAAUGCCUAUAGCCAUGUUUGUGCCUGCUGCUGCCAGUUAAGGUCAUCUAAAGAGCAGAUAAGUUUAGAAGUCUUUAAUUAUGCAUUACAGAGUUGUUCUAAAGUAGAGUACAGUAGUUGUCAUCUGAACAACAUUCAGUUUUAUCAAGGUAUACAGAUGAGUACACGGGUUUGCUGUAGUAUAAAAAGAUUUUAUAUUGCAUCUCCUGGGGAUUUUUGUGUUCAUAUUGGGUUGCAUAAGAGUACCAGUAUUAAAAAGUAUUGAGGUGUAAAAUUACUGACAACAGUACACCACUACAGUUUUACACUACUGGCAUGAAUUAUUCUGCUCUUGAUAUGGGAGUACUAUAACUCUAUCUGCCUGUACAGGGAAUGUAGCCAUACACAUACACACAGAUUCCCUUCACUUUAAACCACAUCCCUUAGGCACUACACAUGGUGGACACAACAAAGAAUACAACAGCAAAAUGAAACCAAUUUACCAAUUGAUGAGAGGUGAAUGUAUAGAAAAAGGUAUUUGUCAGAAAAUAUGUGGGUUGCACCUAUAUAUGCCUAUUCGAAGGACUGAUUAUGAGUUAGAACUACUUGCCAGUUACAGUGACGGUGGAUGGAUUUAUCUACUUCAAGAAUGCAAGACUUAAAAACUGAGAUUACUAUGCGGUUAAUGUAAGUAAGAAAAGUAAAGACAACCCUAAAUACCGGGUAAGAACUUAAAGUUGGACUCUGUUCCUCAUUUCCUUGCAAGUUGCUUUUUAUGGUUUAAGCUAUGGCAUAAAAAUUUCUCUGCAUUUUUGUACUUAUUCAUCAUUUUUUUUAAAAAAUAUCUGUUUCAAGCCAUUAUUCAUUUUCAACAUGAUCGAUUAAAAUAAAUUAGCAUGAAUUUUUUCCCUCGUAUAGUGGUAUUGUUUAAAUGACAAUUUUGCACUGAAGUUAAAAGGUAUUUUAACAACACUAGUUAAUAAGCAUCCUGUAUGGCUGUGUUAUGUCUUUUUUGCUCAUGUGGGUCUCCCUGUUGUAAACACAGACAUGCUAUUUGUUCACUUAUUCCACCAGAAGCCCUAUAUUUUUAUGAAUGUCCUUGAAAAAGAGCUCUCCACUGGGUUUCACACACAGUAAAAGUGCGUGUGUGUCUGCCUGUCUGCCUGUGUGGGAGAUGUAGUCGUGUAUCGUCCACACACACAUACACACACACACACACACACACACACACACACACACACACACACACACACACACACACACACACACACACACACACACACACACACACACACACACACACAGAGUGGUAGACUUAGCAAACAGCCUGGCCCUUGUUCAGAGUGUAUGGUCCUUCCAAAUAAGGUUGGGCGAGUGGCCAGGUAUGCAGUGUUUCCUAACCAAGCAGUCCACAGUUUUCUCAAUAUUUACAGAAAAAUGGUUUACUCUUUAGCCUAACGCAGCAUUGAGGUAUGAGGAGUAUCAUGUUCUACAUGUCUGAGUAUGAUAGAAAUGCUUUGAGCUUGUCUUUGGGAUUUCCAUGACUAAUAGACUUAUUUAAAGUCAGCCGAACAUGUUUUUUUGGGGGGGGGAACCCCAUUUUCUUCUGUAUUAAAUAGUUAAUUGCUUUAUGUAACAGUUCUACAACAAAAAAUUUUAGACAAAAGCAAAAGACAGAAACAUGGCCGCCUUCUUUUUUCUUUUUUUCUUUUUUUUUUUUUUUAGCUAAUACCAUAGCUAGCUAGCAUUGGUCUGCUGCUAAAAAUUAUUUUGAUAAUCGUUAAUCUGUUGAUUUUGUUUUUCAAUUAACUGAAAUUUAGUAAAUCUUUACUAAAUGUAUUGGUAAAUAUAAUAAAUACCAAAAAUAUUUAUUUCAGUCAACAAAUACUACUACAAUACUCUUAACGUAUACCAAGCGUUUAAAUAAAUAACGGGUCAUAACACUACAAUGUUGUAUCUGUCAUAACAAUUAUCAAGCACAUGUUGAACACUUUUUUUCAAAGCGGACAUCCUAACUAACAAUCAUGGUCUUACAUACAUCUGUACUGAUUCCACACACUGUUUUUUGCAACUAUAUGUUGCUGUGAGCAACAGUCACUGGUAGAGGGCUUACCUGUAUAUCAAGCUCUAAUUUGUUCAAUUCCAACCAGCCAGAUUUUUUAUUUUUUAUUUAUUUAUUUUUUAUAAAAGGCUAUUAUCCACAGGCUAUCACACUAUCUGAAGCACUUGGAUGCUAAAUUUACUUUGAUUGUUGCAAGGUAAUUCAUUUUCGGUGUGUGGGUUUGACGCCAAAGAUUUGGGACUGACUCUUAGUGUUUAGUGCCUGGAAUCUGAGAAUUGGCUCUUUGACUCGCAGUCGCAGGACAUUCCAUUUGAACCAAC